CUCUACAACCAUGUCACUCUGAACAAACCCGAUCCUGUCUGAUCUCAGAAGCUAAGUGGGGUUGGGCCUGGUUAGUACUUGAAUGGGAGACCGCCUAGGAAAACCAGGUACUGUAGGCA
RNAcentral lists this ribosomal RNA (119 nucleotides) under Pteropus alecto (black flying fox). The record is from RNAcentral. Lineage: Eukaryota; Metazoa; Chordata; Mammalia; Chiroptera; Pteropodidae.